CAGGUGGCCCAGGGUGACUCAGAAUCAGACAUUCUCUUUGGAGACAUGGUACUGAAACACAGAAUGUAAAUUGAAACACCAAAGAACAAAAAGAUUUCAUUUUCUCACAUGCUUGUUGUGUUGGGUGGAAAAGACAAGGAAUGAAAAGAAAGGAGCUUAAAGGUGUGAGAAAUAAAGAAGAGCCCACAAAGAAGAUGAAGAAAUCAUUAGAAAGAAAAAACAAUCUUAAUGACUUUGUUCUGGAGGCAAAGGAAAUAAACAAAAUUUCAGAGAGAGAGAAAAAGAAACUGUUCAACUGUGUCAAAUACUCUUACGAGGUCUACUAACUGGAGUACUAAUAAUUGAUUAUUGGAUUUGAAAACAGAUUUUUGAAGACAUUAACACGACAGUUUCAGCAGCCUUGUAAGUGUGGUGUGGAGUGGAUUUAGGGAUAAAUUAAAGAGUAAUUUAAAACUGUCAAUGUAGACAAUCUUUUUGAGGAGUUUUACUAGAAACAGGAUUGAGAAAUGGAGUCAUAGUUUUAGAGGAAGGUGGAGCUAAGUGGAUCUUUUUUUUUAAGCACAAGAUUUCACUAUAUAGUGAUGUGAAUGCCCUGAAGUGGAGGAAAAGAUUGUCAAUUCAAAAGAGAGAGAGGUGAGAAUAGUUUUGUCCAAAUCUUUGAGUAAGUGAUAAAGAGUGGGAUCC
RNAcentral lists this long non-coding RNA (684 nucleotides) under Homo sapiens (human). RNAcentral describes it as "HSALNT0044442". Lineage: Eukaryota; Metazoa; Chordata; Mammalia; Primates; Hominidae. The record is from RNAcentral.